GAUGAACGCUGGCGGCGUGCUUAACACAUGCAAGUCGAACGAGAAGUGAAGACGGAAACCUUCGGGCGGAAGGCUUUAUUUCGAGUGGCGGACGGGUGAGUAACGCGUGGGUAACCUGCCUCAUACAGGGGGAUAACAGUUGGAAACGACUGUUAAUACCGCAUAAGACCACAGCACCGCAUGGUGCGGGGGUAAAAACUCCGGUGGUAUGAGAUGGACCCGCGUUCGAUUAGCCAGUUGGCGGGGUAACGGCCCACCAAAGCGACGAUCGAUAGCCGAUCUGAGAGGAUGACCGGCCACCUUGGGACUGAGACACGGCCCGAACUCCUACGGGAGGCAGCAGUGGGGAAUAUUGCACAAUGGGGGAAACCCUGAUGCAGCGACGCCGCGUGAGUGAAGAAGUAUUUCGGUAUGUAAAGCUCUAUCAGCAGGGAAGAAAAUGACGGUACCUGAGUAAGAAGCCCCGGCUAACUACGUG
RNAcentral lists this ribosomal RNA (478 nucleotides) under uncultured bacterium. RNAcentral's name for it is "partial 16S ribosomal RNA". It matches the Rfam family "Bacterial small subunit ribosomal RNA", at positions 28 to 507 of the family's 1533-position model. The record is from RNAcentral.